UGGGGAAUAUUGGACAAUGGGCGAAAGCCUGAUCCAGCCAUGCCGCGUGUGUGAAGAAGGUCUUCGGAUUGUAAAGCACUUUCAGUUGGGAGGAAGGGUGGUAGAUUAAUACUUUGCAAUUUUGACGUUACCGACAGAAUAAGCACCGGCUAACUCUGUGCCAGCAGCCGCGGUAAUACAGUGGGUGCAAGCGUUAAUCGGAAUUACUGGGCGUAAAGCGCUCGUAGGUGGUUUGUUAAGUUGGAUGUGAAAGCCCCGGGCUCAACCUGGGAACUGCAUUCAAAACUGACAAGCUUGAGUAUGGUAGAGGGUGGUAGAAUUUCAGGUGUAGCUGUGAAAUGCGUAUAUAUAGGAAGGAACACCAGUGGCGAAGGCGACCACCUGGACUGAUACUGACACUGAGGUGCGAAAGCGUGGGGAGCAAACA
RNAcentral lists this ribosomal RNA (427 nucleotides) under uncultured prokaryote. Its description in RNAcentral is "bacterial SSU rRNA". It matches the Rfam family "Bacterial small subunit ribosomal RNA", at positions 355 to 774 of the family's 1533-position model. The record is from RNAcentral.